This is a long non-coding RNA of Rhagoletis pomonella (apple maggot), 247 nucleotides long. RefSeq lists it as uncharacterized. Lineage: Eukaryota; Metazoa; Arthropoda; Insecta; Diptera; Tephritidae. The transcript has 2 exons. The record is from RefSeq and is a predicted model, not a curated record.
AUAAUUCUGCAGAAAUUAUAACAACCUACAUAUAGUGUACAAUGAUUCAGGUACUAUGUGUUACUAGCGGCAAUAACAAGGUUGCAAAUUGUUCGGAAAUUAAAAUUUGCAGUGUCUCGAUGCCUAUGGAUGGUGUUGACGAUGGCAAUGGUGAGGACCGUUAGUGCCGCUGAGCAAAACCGCGAUGCAAAAGCAGCCUUGCGGUGAAGAUGGAAGUGAGGACAGACAAAAAGCACAUACAAAAAAA